This 256-nucleotide ribosomal RNA is filed under the name uncultured bacterium. Its description in RNAcentral is "partial 16S ribosomal RNA". It matches the Rfam family "Bacterial small subunit ribosomal RNA", at positions 99 to 354 of the family's 1533-position model. The record is from RNAcentral.
CGGACGGGUGAGUAACACGUGAGCAACCUGCCUUCGAGAGGGGAAUAACGGCUGGAAACGGUCGCUAAUACCGCAUAACAUACUGGAGGGACAUCCCUUUGGUAUCAAAGAUUAUAUCGCUCGGAGAUGGGCUCGCGUCCGAUUAGGUAGUUGGUGAGGUAACGGCUCACCAAGCCGACGAUCGGUAGCCGGACUGAGAGGUCGAACGGCCACAUUGGGACUGAGACACGGCCCAGACUCCUACGGGAGGCAGCAG